CCUACGGGAGGCAGCAGUCGAGAAUCAUUCACAAUGGGGGAAACCCUGAUGGUGCGACGCCGCGUGGGGGAAUGAAGGUCUUCGGAUUGUAAACCCCUGUCAUGUGGGAGCAAAUUAAAAAGAUCGUACCACAAGAGGAAGAGACGGCUAACUCUGUGCCAGCAGCCGCGGUAAUACAGAGGUCUCAAGCGUUGUUCGGAAUCACUGGGCGUAAGGCGUGCGUAGGCUGUUUCGUAAGUCGUGUGUGAAAGGCGCGGGCUCAACCCGCGGACGGCACAUGAUACUGCGAGACUAGAGUAAUGGAGGGGGAACCGGAAUUCUCGGUGUAGCAGUGAAAUGCGUAGAUAUCGAGAGGAACACUCGUGGCGAAGGCGGGUUCCUGGACAUUAACUGACGCUGAGGCACGAAGGCCAGGGGAGCGAAAGGGAUUAGAUACCCUAGUAGUC
RNAcentral lists this ribosomal RNA (446 nucleotides) under uncultured bacterium. Its description in RNAcentral is "partial 16S ribosomal RNA". It matches the Rfam family "Bacterial small subunit ribosomal RNA", at positions 338 to 795 of the family's 1533-position model. The record is from RNAcentral.